Molecule: ribosomal RNA, 468 nt
Filed under: uncultured bacterium
Lineage: Bacteria
Description: partial 16S ribosomal RNA
Rfam family: Bacterial small subunit ribosomal RNA
Source: RNAcentral
GACGAACGCUGGCGGCGUGCUUAACACAUGCAAGUCGAACGGAAAGGCCCUGCUUUUGUGGGGUGCUCGAGUGGCGAUCGGGUGAGUAACACGUGAGUAACCUGCCCUUGACUUUGGGAUAACUUCAGGAAACUGGGGCUAAUACCGGAUUGGAGCUCCUGCUGCAUGGUGGGGGUUGGAAAGUUUCGGCGGUUGGGGAUGGACUCGCGGCUUAUCAGCUUGUUGGUGGGGUAGUGGCUUACCAAGGCUUUGACGGGUAGCCGGCCUGAGAGGGUGACCGGCCACAUUGGGACUGAGAUACGGCCCAGACUCCUACGGGAGGCAGCAGUGGGGAAUAUUGCACAAUGGGCGGAAGCCUGAUGCAGCAACGCCGCGUGCGGGAUGACGGCCUUCGGGUUGUAAACCGCUUUCGCCUGUGACGAAGCGUGAGUGACGGUAAUGGGUAAAGAAGCACCGGCUAACUACGUG